ACCCUCUGGUUCCCUUUUCCAUCUGACUGGAACAUGGGUCUUGAUGGUAGUACAAGAAACAAAAAUGAUGCUGAAGCUGGCUUCACAGUGUUGUAGUCUGAUAUACAGCAUAGGGCCAACCUCAAACAAGG
Molecule: small nucleolar RNA, 131 nt
Organism: Oryctolagus cuniculus (rabbit)
Lineage: Eukaryota; Metazoa; Chordata; Mammalia; Lagomorpha; Leporidae
Source: Ensembl